This 3642-nucleotide long non-coding RNA is filed under the name Prunus persica (peach). RNAcentral's name for it is "long non-coding RNA (PPER_LNC002895)". The record is from RNAcentral. Lineage: Eukaryota; Viridiplantae; Streptophyta; Magnoliopsida; Rosales; Rosaceae.
GGAGUUGCAGGCGGAAAUUGGUAAUUGCACAAACCAACCCAACACGCACAUAAAAGAAUAAAAGUUUGUUUCUAAUUUGACCAUACUUGGACUAUUUGAGAUAAUGGGCAUGGGCGGGCCUCUUUGUGUGAAGACGAAGCACGGAACCAUGGUCUGGUCCUUGAGGGGGGGGAGCACGCCUUGGUUGCAUGGUGUGGAAAUUUGCAGGCGAGCACCUAGCUUGGCUGUCCCGUGUACUGAGGUUGUUGUGGGUCUAGUCGGCGGCGUAGUAAACUGACCAGCGAUGGAGGUAAAUCUGGUUGGUAUCGAUGACACGGGGUUGAGGGAGAUGGUGAAGUAUGGUCGGCAUACAUGGGACUUGGUCGGCGGCGUCGCCAGUUUGAAACUUCUUAGUUUCUGUUGCUUGUUGAUCCGUUUGGCUGAUCCGGGUGGUGAAAUAGAGGAGAGAAGCUCUGUCCUUUCGUCACCAUUUUUGCUCCACUGACCCGCGAGAGAUUGGGCUAUGAGAGAAGGUAGAUGAAGACACGAUGGGUGUCUUGAGGAAUUGCUAGUUGUAGCAGCCCUUGCGUAGUGGAGGUGACACAAGCUGAGGCUAUUGAGCAGAUUUUGCAGUGGGGCACAUGUGGGCUUUAUUCUCCGUUGGUCGGCUAGGAGUAGCUGGACCAUGAAUAUGGUUUUUGGUGGAGAUGAACUUCCAGGUUGAGAUAGAUAAGAACGACAUUAAUUUUGUGUCAUUUCUCACAGACGGCGCCAAAUAUUAAUUGGUGAAUCUGUACCUAAUGGAUCAAGACAUAAUCACAAAUAACACAAGUGUUUGAGUAGUUCACCUAUAAUGGAGCUACAUCCAGUAUAGUUUAUUGCUUUAUAUUUGUAUUUGAAGAGGUUACAUUGUACAUGAGAGAAAUAGGGAGAGAGGCUUGAGAGCUCUAGUAGAAGAGUAAUAGAAAGCUUGGGAGAACUUUGGACAGCUCUUGGAGAAAUGAAGAAGUAGCAGCCAAUCCUCCUUUUGCUUGGAGGUGGUGAGCUCCCUUUUAUAGUCCAAGUUAGAAUAGACAAGGUUGAUUGAUGGCUUUGUCAUUUGCAUGGCUCCCCUUAAUUAUAUUUAGGGUCUUGGGCCUUGAGAAGGCAUAGGAGGGGCCAUGGCUAGCUACUCCUUGUUUGGUGGGAUGUGACCUAUGACAAGAGGGGUUAUCCCUUAAUUGGUGGGAUUUGCUAAAGGGAGAAGGUGAGGUCAACUUGGUGCCAACACAUAUCAAGCAUAGCUUUGACACAAUUAGCAGCCUGAAACUAGGAGAUGUAAUCUUCCUAACAUGGAUCGAGAAAGGUUAUAUAGUAAGUGUGCUUUAUGCUUCAGUGGUUGGAUGUUUCAUGUGUGUGUACUGGACUAGACAUUGCUCAUGCAUGCAGUCGGGGUUGUUAGUCAAUACAUAGUAGUCCUGGAAAGCAACAUUGGGAGGUGGUAAAGGGGAUUUUUCAUGUAUCUUCGAGGUACUACGUCUCUGUGUUUAUAGGUGAUUGUGUCUGAGUUCAAAGGUUUUGUCGAUGUAGACUUGGCAAGAGACAUUGAUAAUACGAGGAGUAUUAUUUUGUUAUGUUUGUAAUGUGGGUAGUGUUGUUGUGAGUUGGUCUCAAGAUUACAAGGUGUAUAGCUUUGUCCGAGCAUGGUGACCAGUGAGGCUGCAAAAGAGAUAUGGUUUGGUUGAAAGGCUUCUUGGAGGAAUUGAGGAGGGUUGUGUUUUGUAUAGUGAUAUAGUUAGAGUGCAAUUCACUCGGAUAAAAUCAUGUGUUUCAUUCAAGGACCAAGAAUAUUGAACCAAACUAAAAUUACAUACGCUGAUUUAUGUUGAUAUUUUGACUAAGUUGGCGAUUAACAAACUGAAGUUGUGAUCGAUUUCAGUUGGUCUCUUAGCAUAUGAUGAUGGAGAUGUUGGUUGCUUGAGAUGUGGCCUUGUUAUGUGUGAAGUGCUUGAAGCUUUGGCUGAGUUUCUUGGGAGGUAUCAAGUUAGAGGAGCCCAUGUCCAAAAACCGAUUGGUCACACUACUAGAAAAGAGAGAGAUGUUUGCAAGGCUGUGUUAGAGCGACUAAUUGCCCAUCACAGCGGACCAUUUGAAGCCAUACGAGCGUCUUUCGUGUUUUAUUUCCUACUCAAAAUUUGCUUCAUAUUCGGACUUAAAUUCCUACCCAUGUAACCGUAAGUCUUAUGAACUAUAAAUAUGACUUUUAGGGAGUUGUAUUAUGUUAAGAGAGCUAACCCUAAUUACAAGGGAGUAUGACAAAACACUUUAGCGCUUGUAAUUGUCUUUCCUUCUUUAACAGUGAAAAUCUCAUAGCAACCCGGACACAUAGCACAUAUGGAGUGAAUCUCGUUAACAAAUUCUUGUGUUGUUGUAUAUAAUUUGUUUGUUUUUGUGUUUCUCAAUUGCGUUUAUAUUGUUUCACAGAUGUUUUUUUUGUAUAAGAUGAGAUAAGGGCAUGAUUUCCUAAUACCUUUCCAAAUCACCUACUAGAUUUGGCAUGUUAAUUUUUAGUAACAUCAAUUGGGUUUCAAGAUGAAUAAGUUGCUAGCUAUCUCCAAUAUCAUAAACAUUAUGGCUUUUAGCACUAAAUUUCUCUGAAAUAAUAGCAUAAUAUACCAUUAUAAUUUGUAAACAGGGAGGAAAGUAGGGAGGGGUAAUAGAAAAUACAUGAUGUUUACACAAUAAUAACGUCCGAGUGUCUGCAUAGGAGAAUUUCUAUAUAUAUAAUGAAGAGUAUUGUACACAAGUUACAUCAAGGAUAACAUGACAUUAACCAAGAGUCUUAUACUCUGAAUCAAGCAUGUAUCAGCUGUAUAAUAGCUUGCUACCUAUAAAGAGGUAAAAUUUAAAUCGAUGGAGAUAUGAGUUAUGAGGAACAAAGUAGUGAAUAUAGUUUCGUACUCAAGGCCAAAUACCAUACUCAGCUAACCUCCACGAGCUGAUUUCAAACUCUUUGUGGCUCAGAAAACUCCAUGGGUGGUGGUAGUCAGAGGAGCACUCACUCCACCCAUUAUGAGAAUUGCUGUGCUUGGACUCCUCCGUUCCCUCAUUCAUCACAAGAUGAUCAUUUUGGUGGGGUUGCAUUAUCGCGCCUAGUAACAAGAUUAGAGAAGCCAUAAAAAUAUAUGUGGGUUUGAGGGCUGAAUUGCCACCAGAAGCCUUGAGCUUCCUCUCCUCACCCGUCUAUGAAUUGGAGCGUCAAACAGUUGCAUCACCCUAUAUAUAUAUAUAUAUAUAUAUAUAUAUAUAGUUUUUCCCACCACAUUUUUGACUACUUGAGAAAGAAAUGCAGGUGUCAACAAGUUGUAGAUAGAUACUUCAUGUUGCAUUUACUUUUGGCACAAGAAAUGCCUUUAACGUAAAAAAUCUUUCAUGCAAAUCUUGCCAUGCGAUCAGUUUUGUAAAGGAGUUGGCCAUCUAAAGCCAUGCCACUUUUACAUGACUCAAUAAGCGUUGGACAACCCACAGAGAGAGAGAGAGAGAGAGAGAGAGAGAGAGAGAGAGAGAGAGAGAGAGAGAGAGAGAGAGAGAGAGAACAUUUUGGGACCAUGGUAAUAAUGAACUACGAAGGAGGAAGAAAGCUAGAGAGAGAACAUAGGAAUUUCUAAGAAAUCUUUUGUGUUU